Molecule: transfer RNA, 76 nt
Filed under: Methanotrichaceae archaeon
Lineage: Archaea; Methanobacteriati; Methanobacteriota; Methanomicrobia; Methanotrichales; Methanotrichaceae
Description: tRNA-Gln
Rfam family: tRNA
About the family: Transfer RNA (tRNA) molecules are approximately 80 nucleotides in length. Their secondary structure includes four short double-helical elements and three loops (D, anti-codon, and T loops). Further hydrogen bonds mediate the characteristic L-shaped molecular structure. tRNAs have two regions of fundamental functional importance: the anti-codon, which is responsible for specific mRNA codon recognition, and the 3' end, to which the tRNAs corresponding amino acid is attached (by aminoacyl-tRNA synthetases). tRNAs cope with the degeneracy of the genetic code in two manners: having more than one tRNA (with a specific anti-codon) for a particular amino acid; and 'wobble' base-pairing, i.e. permitting non-standard base-pairing at the 3rd anti-codon position.
Source: RNAcentral
AGCCCGGUAGUGUAGAGGUCAAUCACAGGAGGCUCUGGACCUCUUGACUUAGGUUCGAAUCCUAGCCGGGCUACCA